Molecule: regulatory RNA element, 171 nt
Organism: Melissococcus plutonius ATCC 35311
Lineage: Bacteria; Bacillati; Bacillota; Bacilli; Lactobacillales; Enterococcaceae
Rfam family: M-box riboswitch aptamer (ykoK leader)
About the family: M-box riboswitch, also know as ykoK leader is described as a metaloregulatory RNA that sense divalent metals and function as a genetic control element of genes related to divalent metal transport in bacteria.
Source: Rfam
GAAUAGAUUUGUUAGGCGAGACUCCUAUACAAACAUAGGCUACUGCCCAAAAACGUCGAGAGACACCAAUGGGUAGAACAGAAAUUGUCGAUUUAAGGCUUUUUUUAAGGUAGCUAAAAGUUUAAACUUUUUACGUUGUAUAGUGUCAAAACUCAACGAUAGAAUCGAAAA